UUAAAUCACUUUAACCAUGCUGUGCACAAACAAACGAACUUAAAAUUAACCGAAAGUAAAGCAACUCAAAACUACGUGGCACACCACAUUGUGUUGAAUUCCCGAAAGAGACAAAUAAUCCGCCAUCUGACUAUCRAYGGGCUAGAUAACCUCAAUCAAUUGGYGACGUUAGAAAAGAUCCUCAACCAUUUUCGAGCAUAAAUAAGUGGUUUUGGAAAAGCGAAUUUCAAAAGCUUGCAAAAAAAUAAAAAACUAAAAAUUCGGAGGGAGAGAGCGACAUCUAUUAGAACAACSUAGAUAAURUCAAGAAGUAUUUUCAUGAAACUAAAAAUAGUCGAACGCCACUGGUAAAAGCAAUAAGUACAAAGCACUCGCAUACACAGACACAGAGCGUCGUCGUUCAGGGUUACCAAUUAAUUACGAAAACCGAGGAGAACGAGGCCAAUACUCGCUCACGUGACUUCAGAGGUUGCUGACGUAUGGCCUAGCAACAAACAGUUGAAUAACAUCGGUAAUGUUUCCGACAUCACCGACCAGGAGCUCAGAAAUAGCGAGCGAUAGUCGAAAUCGAACACUUUCAAAGCCAGUAGACAAAACCUCCUGGUAGGAUUGCCUAUCUUCACGGUCAGAAAGAAGGGGACCACUUUGCCAUGCGAUUCGUUCUCUGGCUGGUAAAUUAAAAAGGGAAAGGGAAGGUCCCGCCUAAGUCCCCACCCACCCAACGCGAUGAUUGGUAGAAAAGUGGCAGAUGUUUUGAGUUAGUGUGAUAUUUCUCAGGUUUUUUUGUUGACGAAAUGGCAAAUUAUGGCUUCAAAUAAAGGUGGCUGUAUUGCAGCUCAUAAAAAGGACUCUUGGUAUUUGGCCAUUUUCAGACCCUAGUUGUAAUGGGGUUUUAGUAAAUUUAACUUUUAUAAAUCGUCCCGAUUCAUUAAGUCCUGUUGAUCUGACUAAGUUGUAUUCCUAGAAAUUACAUGGCUUAUGUUCAGGAAUACACAAACUAGCCAGUGCACUGCCGGAUACCAAGAAGAACUAACUUUAAAUAUAUAUAUAUAUAUGAAUUAAAGUAGAAGUUCUUAAUAACAAAUACGUUAGUAAAUGACAAUAAAAAUUAAAUUUGGAAAA
Molecule: long non-coding RNA, 1122 nt
Organism: Dendroctonus ponderosae (mountain pine beetle)
Lineage: Eukaryota; Metazoa; Arthropoda; Insecta; Coleoptera; Curculionidae
Exons: 2
Source: RefSeq, a predicted model, not a curated record